This 281-nucleotide unclassified non-coding RNA is filed under the name Hevea brasiliensis (rubber tree). Lineage: Eukaryota; Viridiplantae; Streptophyta; Magnoliopsida; Malpighiales; Euphorbiaceae. The record is from RNAcentral.
CUGGAGAUGGUGACCCUGCUGCUCCUAAUAAAAGCAACAACUUCAAAAUGGGAAAAUUUCCACCUUGUCAACAUUGUGGUGGCAAAUCCCAUUCACAUCUCAAAUGUUGGAGGAGACCAGAUGCUAAAUGUGUCAAGUGCAACCAAAUGGGGCAUGAGGCUGUAAUAUGCAAAGCAAAAACUCCCCAACAAGCAGCAGAGGCACAAAAUGCCGAGCAAGAGGAAGAGGACCAGCUCUUUGUUGCAACUUGUUUUUCCAGCAGCAACUCAAGUGAAUCUUGG